Molecule: ribosomal RNA, 467 nt
Filed under: uncultured bacterium
Lineage: Bacteria
Description: partial 16S ribosomal RNA
Rfam family: Bacterial small subunit ribosomal RNA
Source: RNAcentral
GACGAACGCUGGCGGCGUGCUUAACACAUGCAAGCCGAACGGAAAGGCCUCUUUCGGGGGGUACUCGAGUGGCGAACGGGUGAGUAACACGUGAGUAACCUGCCCUUGACUUUGGGAUAACUUCAGGAAACUGGGGCUAAUACCGGAUAGGAGCUCCUGCUGCAUGGUGGGGGUUGGAAAGUUUCGGCGGUUGGGGAUGGACUCGCGGCUUAUCAGCUUGUUGGUGGGGUAGUGGCUUACCAAGGCUUUGACGGGUAGCCGGCCUGAGAGGGUGACCGGCCACAUUGGGACUGAGAUACGGCCCAGACUCCUACGGGAGGCAGCAGUGGGGAAUAUUGCACAAUGGGUGGAAGCCUGAUGCAGCAACGCCGUGUGCGGGAUGACGGCCUUCGGGUUGUAAACCGCUUUCGCUCAUGACGAAGCUUUGUGUGACGGUAGUGGGUAAAGAAGCACCGGCUAACUACGUG